CUCCUCCUGCUCCUCCUCUUUCUCCUCCUCCUUUUGCUCCUGCUUAUAUCCUCCUCCUCCUGCUCCUCCUUCUGCCCCUCCUGUUCUUCCUCCUCCUCCUCCUUUUGCUCCUCCUGUUCGUCCUCCUGCUUCUCCUGCUCCUGCUCCUCCUGCUCCUCCUCCAGCAGCUCCUCCUCCUCCUGUCCUCGCUUUUUCUUCAUCUUUGUCUUCUUUUCAUCUUCCCUCUCUUUUUCUUUUGUAAUCACUAUGGACCACAAUAAGUUGUCACAGUAGUGCACAGGUCCCGAGUACCUAUCAACCAGUUUCCCCCAAUGAUGACUUCUUACAUCAUGAAGCAAGGACAUUGAUUGGCUCCAGAUCAUCAACUGGAUUACAGCUCUUACUCAUAUUUCACCAGUGUUCACAUCCACUCAUUUUUGUAUAUUUUUGUAUCUAAUUCCAUGAUGUUUUAUCACAUAUAUAGAUGCGUAUAAUUACCACCACAUCAAGUUCCAGAGCUAUGCUGUCACUAUGGGGGAAAGCACCUUGUAUUCCUCCUUGUAGUCACACCCUCCUCCUCUUUUCUAUGCACUAGCAACCACUCCCCUGCACUCCAUCUCUACAGCAAUGCCAUUUUGAAAAUGCUAUAUCAAUGGAAUCAUGCAGUGUGUAAUCUUUUGAGAUGGGCUUUUCUUCACUUAGCAUAAUUCCCUUGAGCUCCAUCCAAGUUGUUGCAUGUAUCAACAGUUUGUUCCUUUUUGUUGCUGAGUAGUAUUCCAUGGUAUGGAUGCACCACACUUUGUGUUACCAUUCACCAGUUGAAAUUUGGGUUGUUUUCAGGUUUUAGAUAUUUAUGUAUAUAAAGCUGCAUGAGUCAUAUAACUGGCUGAAUAAAUUUAAAUGAAUAUCAGUCAUGCAGAUCUUUUAGAAAUGAGCUCUCUGAAUCUUAGUUAAUAGAACAAUAUACACAUUUCAAGGAGAGGUCUUUCCUACCUACAUACUUCAGAGGUUUCUUAAAGGGGUGUCUGCAAAACUGACCAUCUCCAGUUCACCCCUCUGAUAUCCUCCUAUGAUUUCCAGACUUAUAUUUAGGAAGACCAAGGCUGGUCCUUUUCUGUUAGAAGUCACCUGUCUGAAAAAAUUCUAGCUACCAAAAUUUGUCAUCGGCUAAGUGCAUUUUCACCUUGGAGCCAUUGUAAAUCUUCACCUUGUCCUAUUGCCUUCGAACCACUCUCUGACAUUAUGAUCCUCAUUGAUUUGUUCCCUUGUUUGUUGACUGCCCCAUGAGAGCUUCAUAAGAGCUGGACUUUGCCUUGUUCUCUGCUAUUCCCUAGUUUACAAUUGAAGGGCCAGACACGGAACAGGUGUAUAAUAAUGUUUGUGAAUAAAUGUGUUAAUGAAUUCUAUCUUCAAUAUAGAAAAGAGAUUUGUAAAAGCUCUCCCCGAAAGACUGGAUUUAAGUAAAUAUAAAUAGAGCUUGCCAAAUAAAUAGAGUGAAGGGAAACCAUUCCAGGGCUUGGACUUAGAAAGCCUGAGUCAGAACUUCAGCUCUACCUCUUACUGUCUUGGUAUCUGUAGGAACUGAUCUAAUUUCUUUGCCAAAGUCAUCUCAUUUGCAACAUCACCUUCUUCACAGGAUAACUGUGAGGCUCAAGUAAGUCAGUUUGUGUGAAUGUACUUUGUAAGACACUAAAGUGCUGUAUAAAUCUAAGGGAUUCUUAUUGCCAUGGUUAUCACCUCCUCCUUCUCUCUCCUGCUUCCCUCCUUCUCCUUCAUCAUCAUUUUGACCAUCAUCAUGACCAUUUGCACCCUUGGAAGGAUAAAAAGCAUCCAGGCAACUGCAAAUAUGAAAUCAUGGCAUUCUUAUGACGUUCCAGCCAGUAGAGGGCAACAGUUCCUACCUGCUAAGUACAAUGUCUUUAAACAUCAAGUUGAAAUAUGCAUGGCAACUUAUGAUCAUUUAUAUGUCUUUAUUUUUAAAGGAAACACGCUCAUCCACCCUAAUCAUUCUUCCAUUGAGCAAUUCCUUCCCAGUAUUCUUGUUCAGUACAUUGCCUUAGCACAAACCUCUUAGAAAUGUCUGGCUGCUGUGAAAGAAAGUGAUUUUAUUUACUUAUUAUUUCAAUGGGAUUUGCAUUCUUGUCCUCCCUUCCUGGUUGCCUGGGUGAGAUGCAGUGCAAAAUUUGGCUCAGGAGUGAUGAUACAGCAUGCUUCUCUUUUCUUGACACUGGCAUUAGAAGAUAGUGUAAUUGCUUGUGUUUGAUUACGUUCUCUGAGAAUUCUGUCACUCUUUGAGGUGAUUCCUAUAUUCCCUCCUUGCUAGACUGUCGCUGUGUGUAUUUCACCCUAGGACUGGUGGAGAGAGUUGUUAAGCUGACCUCUGGAGUCUAUCUGGUACAGUCUGACUUCCCCACAGUGUGUAUCAGCAGGCAGGUCAUUGGUGUAGGGACAGACAGACUGGGAAGUUGCUGAGGGGCUUUACUCCAGAAAGUAAGGGCAGCUGGGUUUUUUUCUUUUCUGUCUCUGGUUCUUGAAUCAGGAUGGAUUUUUGAUAUACUGCUUAACCCUGCUGCCAGGGGACCCACCAGGGUAAAGCAGCACCCCCACCUCAGGAUAAGCAGAAAGAAAGAGAUACACAAGGUAGCCCAGUUUUUUCCAUUUAACAAAAGCUAGCUGGGGAAAAAUCAAACAUUAACAUUUGCUUACUCACUUUAAAGAGGAUGGUGUUCGUUUCAUCACAGGGUAGAGAGGGGUGGCUGUGCAGUCCUGGAAUACUUUUUUUUUUUUUUGAGAUGGAGACUCACUCUGUUGCCAGGCUGGAGUGCAGUGGCGUGAUCUCGGCUCACUGCAACCUGCAUCUCCUGGGUUCAAUCAAUUCUCCUGCCUCAGCCUCCCGAGUAGCUGGGAUUACAGGCAUGUGCCGCCACACCUCGCUAAUUUUUUUGUCUUUUUAGUAGAGAUGAGGUUUCACCAUAUUGGUCAGGCUGGUCUCGAACUCCUGACCUUGUGAUCCGCCCACCUUGGCCUCCCAAUGUGCUGGGAUUACAGGCAUGAGCCACCACACUAGGCCAGUACUUCUUUUUUUAAUGGAACUCUAUUAACCUUAGCUUCAAACCAGCCCCUUUUAUUAAGGAGAACACCAUGAUAUUUAAACAAGAAUGUUUACACAUUUGAGUAUCAGUCAUUCACUCACUUAUCCCAUGUCUAUAGAAAGCCUACUAUACCCUGGAGUUAGAGAUUCAAAAUGAGAAAAAACCAGGACCCUUCCUUGGAAUAACUCCCAGUCUCUGGGGGAUACCAAUGUAGGUCAUUAAUGUUUACAGAGGAGUAGGUGGUGUAACCCAGCCAAGAGCACAGGGCCAUGGCAGCUCAGUGGAAAUGGUGGUUUGCUCUACCAGCCAGAGGCUUCUAAGGAAACACCACUGGAGCUGUGUCUAUGCAGUAUGAGGCAUGUUUUGGGGUGAAUUUUUAUCUUGUUUUGCUCCCUAAACAAUCUUGGAUCAUAUCUAUAGGAAUGCUGACUGGGAAGGAUACAGUAAAUUCUGAUUAUCAUUCCCCAUCCAAGUCUCACCCAGUUUCACCUGGUGUACGUUGUGAUUAGGUUUGGCAGUAGCGAGUUCGUGACCACGUUGUGAAGUGCUGGCAUAUACUUCCUGAGAGUUAAGGAUGGGAAGCCAGAUCUUUAGUUUAGGGCACCUUUGGGAAAAUGCCAGCUUGGCCAAGCCGAGAAAUAACAAACUUUUUUUUUUUUUUUUUGAGUAGAGACCAUACUCACUUCUCCCCAAGACAGGGCAUGCCUCUUAAUAUUUUGCCAUGAUGGCUUUGGGGCCACUAAGAAAAAGUGCUGAUGUAGGGAGAGGACACUGCAAGCUUCAGAUCGAAGGGGUCCUGCCCCAGGGAAAAAACCUCAACUUUUCCACUGAAGCUCUAUGUGACUGUAGGUCAUCUAUCUUGACUUCUCUGGAGCCAUAAUGUCCUGUAUACUGAUUUGGUCCUUUUGCAAAGCAUCGCCUUCUCAGUGAUGAUUCCCAGGGUAUCUCUAAGAAAGUGUUAAAGGCAAAGGCCUUCUUGCACCUUGCAUCCUCUGUAACUCUGAGCCUGCUCUGUGGAGUAGUGGGUAUUGGGCUGCUACUCCUUGGUGGGGAAAGCAAACAGGCUGACACAUCAGCAGAGUGACCAAAGCUGCAUACCCUCCAAGAUGUGAUCCAGCCUGGAGCAGAGCCUGGCCCCAGGGACUGCACAGCCCACACUCCUAGGCUCGGAACAUUUCAGACUCAUGCUGACUUGGCUCUGGAGCUGGCUGUAGCCAGCUGGGACACUGAACCAUUUGCUUGUUCUGUUGACAGCCCAGAAGAACUGGAGCCCUUUGCCUGUGGGUGAAAUCUAAAUUUAGCCCCAAAGAAGUUGCCUUCCCAUUUUGCUGGAGAAAAGCUCUUUUCACGGGAAUGGGCCUCUGCUUUGAUUAAGUGGGAGGACCCACAUCUGGGAAUACAUAAACUUUAUUGUCCUUGGAUGACAAAACGGUUUCCUUGCCUACUGGUUUUCCGCCUUUUUAGCCUGGGGUGUGAUCAUCUGUGCUUAUGACUGUGUUGGCCGGGGCAAGUCAUUUGGCUGUGGCCAGGGCUCCCGACCCUGAGCCUAAGCUGGAGUCAACACCUGGGGAUGUUGUCUUGUCCCCACUUCACCUCCUGAGGCCCAGCUCUGUAAGUGCAGAUGUGACAGAGAGCAGGAGUCUGGGUCUCUGUGAAUGAUCCUGGGAGAACAUGAGGCCCAGGUUUGUAACCCUUUGGACCAGAUCCUGGUAUGGCAGGAGGCCUGAAACAUCCCAGGGCUUUUCCGUAAGGCUUCAGGGUCCAAGGUCCCAGUGCACACCCUGAGCCCAUGCUAGAGUGAACACAAGAGUUCCAUCUUGAAAAGACACCAGCCCUAAGGGGUUCAUUGGGAAAGGCUUCUAGAACUCCUCCUGGCCCAGAAUAGGCCCCUUCAGUGAUUCCCCGCCCUUAGAACCCCCCUGCCAUUUUCAUCUUGUUUGAAUACUUUAGGGAGUUGUUGAGUGAAUAUUCUCUUAAAAGUCAGUUCUCCUAGGGCAUGUUCAGAUCCCUUUGGAUCAGUGUUUCCUUUGUUGUUCAAUGAUGCAGGAUCUGGUUACCUUGUCCAUGUAAGAACUUCUGAAAUGUAGGGCAAAGAGCACUGGACCUGGAUUCAGAACAACUGGGUUGCUGGGUGGUCUGGCUUUAUUGCUUAUUAGUGGUAUGACAUUGGGCAAGGUACCUUCUCCAAGCAUCUGUUUCCUUGUCUGGAAAAUGGCAAUAAUAAGACCAUAUUCACAGCUUUGCUGUCAGCAACAAGUGAGAAGAUGUUACACAUUUUCAAAUGCUCUUUGUAAAAGUAGAUUGCAUUCUCUACUAAGUAAUCUUGGCUGGUAGCAAAUGUUUGCUUGGAUUUGACUAGUUCCUUCCACCGCAUGGAAAUCUCUUUUCUCUCAAAGAGUCCCCUAAAGGACACUGGGCGCUUAUUAGAUCAAGGGAACUCCUGCUUUGUUUGGACCUUCUGUUUCCACUUUUGUUUUCUCUCUUGAAUCUCACUUUGUUUUCCGAAGAAUGAUGGUGAGGCGGAUCAAGAUGUCAUAACCUUUUGGAUUGGUUCAGCAGAUGUUUUGCUCAAUAUCCAUAAGCAGAUUCUAUCUGGCCUAUCUUUAUAGUUCAGUUUCCUGAUCUGUAGAAUGGAUACCGCACCCAUAAGCAGGUCUUGAGAAAUGAUGUAGUGGGAACUCAGAAAGGCAAACUGUAAUCAUUUCAAUGCUGUGGUCAUUAUACAAGUCUGGCAUAUUUUCUGAUCAGAACCUAGCAUUUGGCCAUGUUUCCAUGCUCUUCUGCACAACACUCAACAGUAAAUAUGCAGUAUCAAGUUUUCCCAUUUAAUAAGAAUUCAUGGGAUAGAAAGCAAUUAGGCUAGGUCUAAAAGAAAUUAGGCUCUGGACAAGGAAGAAUUGGAGGGAUACCCUCUUGCUGUAAUUUUCCAGGAUGCUCUGGACAUUCCCCAGAAGUCAUUAGUAUGGAAAGAUCUCAGGAACAUUUUAUAAGCUAGUAAAACAUGCUUGAGGGGUGAUAGAUUCUUUAGAAUUUAUCUGCAUGGCUGACGUCACCCUCUCAGCACAGGGAGCCAAACUGUCUCGAUGUCUGUGGCCCGUUUCUGAAAUUAUUUCCCAGUAGUUAAUCCCAAGUGACCCUUAAGACCACUUCCCUGUCAGAAGUUGUUGGUUUGCAAUGAGAAGUGGCCCUUUCUGGGCCAAUGAGGCUCCUCCUUCCAGCUGAAAUAGAAGGGAAAUUGAUGGCUUCUCUGGCUGAGGACUUCUCCCCUGCAGACCCAUGUCUGGACUGCCCAAGCUUCCUAGUUUAAGUCUCUUUGUCUCAGCUAGUUGUAGUGACUGCCACCCUCACUAGCUGUACCCCUGUAUGGGGGGCCGGCAUGAUUUUUGGCUCCCUGCUUACAGGACUGGAAUGUGGUUUCCUUCAGCAGUAGACAGGGAAGCAGCUUGAUGUCUCUAGAAGCUUGUUUAGUCUCCAGCUUUGUGGUAGUUGACGAUGUCACAUCAUCUUUUCUAAGUUUUAGUUACUGCAAAAUGGUGUUUAUUUUUAUUUGGGGAUUUGGAGGGAAAAGAGAAGGCAAGGAAGAGGGAAACCAAUGAAUAUUUACUGAGCACUACUAUACACCAGGCACUGUGCUUAAACAUUUUAAUGUAUAUCAUCACUUAGUUCUUAAAACAACUCUCUAAGCUAGGACAUUACAAAUCUCAUGUUAUGGAUCUGGAAACUAAGGUUUGGAGAGAGAAAAAUAAAAUGAAGAGUUAUGCCAUGCAAUAGAUUGAAUGUGUAUGUCCCCACAAAAUGCAUAUGUUGAAACCCUAACCCCAAAACUGAUGGUAUUAGGAGGUGCAGUCUUUGGGAGGUGAUUAGGUCAUGAGGAAGAAGCCUUCAUGAUUGGGCUUUAUAAAGGGAACGAUCUUACCCCUUCUACUGUGGGAGGACAAAGCAGACAGGUGCCUUCUAUGAAUCAGAAAAGAGGCCCUUAUCAGACAUGGAACUGGCCAGUGCUUUGGCCUUGAACUUCCCAGAUUCCAGAACUAUGAGAAAUAAGUUUCUGUUGUUUAUAAGCCACCCAGCUUAUGGUAUGUUGUUACAGCAGCCUGAAUGAGCUAAGGCGUAUGGCUUUGCUUGGAUGGGGGGUUGGCUUCUCAAUAGAGGUGGUGUCAUGUUGUGCUGGGAAGAUUGGGACAAUGAUUCCAAUGGCACAGUACCAGGGACCCACUGAGAUCCUACUUGACAGGUCCAGUCCUAUCAAGAGGCCAACGUGAGGCAACCCAAAAGCAUGAUGGGGUUUUCUAGGCAAACCACUCUCCCACUUAACCCCGUUGCCCCAAACAUUGCCAUUCCUCGCCUCUGUGACAGGGUGACUCGGUGACUCUUCAGAGACCAGCGGCUGUCAGAAGCCUCUACAGAUCCCCGGUGCUGGGAGCCAGCAGUGUUCCCAGAUCUUUAUGUUGUCCAGACCAGCCUCAGCAACCAGGCCCCGCUCUCCAGCUGGCCAAGCCCUGGGGGUGACUCAUCUGGCUCCCGACACUGUGCAUCAGCACGCCCUUCUGCCUGCUGCUGCCUCAGUGUGACCACAGCUGCCUCAGGGGAUGGCAGAGGCUGGCUCCUGACCCGGGCUGCUGGCAGGGAGUGUCCUGGAGGCUGCGCGCUCAGCCGGCACGUCCCCCUCAUUCCGCCAGCCCUGCCCACCUUCCUCGCCUGCAGCUCAAUCCCCAUGACUAAGGGUGUGGAAGAGGAUUCCUUUUUCCACAAGCCCAUGACUGAGCUGGGACAGGAGGGAUCUGCAGUCCCCCUUCACUCAGAGACAGCAAAGAUUUUUAUCCCCCAGACACAAGAAUCCCCUGGCUGUGAAGUGGUAAGCCUGGGGAGCGGCUGCCGCCACCUGUCCUCAGGAAAGGUCUGCCACUCUCCGACCUGCUGUUGACCUGAACUCCAGGGACAGCCACUCCCCUGCCAUUUGCUCCUGCAGAGAGUGGGACGGAUGACGUCAUGGCAUUUUUGGAGUGCUGAAGUGAAGUUUUGACAAAUUCCAAGGGACAUCAAAGUGCUGAACAACAGCCAAUACAUCAUAGCCUGUCACCAGGGCCCCCACCCCUGAUUAUCACAUUAAAUCAGCCGGUGGGCACAUUUCAGCUGAAACUCAACAGACGCCUACUGGAACUCACAGUUUCUCCUUCCAGAGUUCAACAAAUAUGGCAAUGGUUACAUUUUAAAAUCUGUGUUUUCUAUUCUACAUUCAGUCUCACACACACACACACACACACACACACACACAACACGUUACUAACUAAAAAACAGAAGCAUGCUGCUAGAGAAUACCUGAUAACUGGGAUUAUGACAUGCAGUAGAAUAGAAUGCUGAUUUGGAUUCUAAUCCUAGCUCUGCCACUUAAUAGCUCGAUAUCUUUAGCAAGUUAGUUAACACCUCUGAGCCUCAAUUUUCUGAGGGUAAAAUAAGCACAAUAAUGUUUCUAUUUCCAAAAUUGUGAGCAUUGGUUGGGAGAGCAGUUCAAUCUUAGUUCUUGCCUGGUAACUGUGGACAAUGUUUUCUAGUCAUAAAGUUUUGUAUUUAUUUCUUGAUGUGUUUAUUGUGUGUUCCUUUUUGAACAUAAGAAAGAUAAGACAUUAUUUUCUCCUCCAGGUUUGCCGAGAAGUGCUUGUGGGUGAGCUGAGGGUAGGGCAUCUGUGGCUCAGUUUUCAGGCUAUGGAGGAAAUAUCUGCUGGGCUGCUAUUUCCCUGCAUAAGUUCUCAUUGCGGGAGGGAGCAGAAGGUAAUUUCAGAAAGAGCUUGUGCUGAUCUUUCGAACUGUUUCUCCCAAAUUCUGGAGUAUCCAAAGAAAGCAGGGUUAUCUGCCAGAAUGUAUCAGAAAGAUAGCAGGCAUGUGAAUUCUACAUUAACAAUAGGGCAUAAGAAAUUUCAUGUUUCUUUUAUUACUUUAAGCUAAAUUUGAUAUGCUACUGUAGCCAUCCUGCCAGGAUGGUAGGAAAUUCAGUUGCAGACUUUCCUGAAAUGCCCCUUCCUCUCAGUUCCUGUGGACAUUCGCCCAGAUCAUUUGGAUAGAGUCCUCUGGUCUUCGGUCCACAGGGGUGACUACUGAUGUGCUCAUCUGCUAAGUCCUCAUGCUCCUGGGAGGCUGGUGGCUCCACCAUUCCUUGGCAGAGCUUUGCCAUUGCUACGAUUUCUCCCUGAGGCCCUGUCGCCUCCCGAGGGUUGCCAGAGAAGGAGAGCCUCCACACCUGGGAUCACAGCUCCCUUCCCUUCCAGUCCCGGGGAGACACUAGAAUCCUUUGAAGUUUCCCUUUUCUAUCAGGACUGUCUCCUUCUCCACCUUUUGGAGAAGAUGAAGGGUAAUCUCCCUUGAGAGAGCCUGUGGAGACACAAUGAUGGCCUCUGUUCUUUAGGAGUGGGGAAAAGAUAAGUUAUCUAGGUUAACUAGGAUUAACUAAUUCUGUUACUGAGCUGGGUGACAAGAUGGGAUUGGGGAAUUUGUUUGGGGACUCAGUGAGGACAUGCAGGAGACAGAUUCAAAGAAUCACAUGUGAAAUGGACAGGGCUCCAAUCCCUCUAAAAUAUCUGUUGCUUUCCUUCUUCCACUUCGACCCCUAUCCCCCAUAAUUCUUCUGUCUUUUUUUGGAGACAGAAUCUUGUUCUGUCACCAGCCUAGAGUGCAGUGGAGCGAUCUUGGCUCACUGCAACCUCUGUCUCCUGGGUUCAAGAGAUUCUCCUGCCUCAGCCUCCCGAAUAGCUGGGACUACAGGUGUGUGCCACCACGCCCAGCUAAUUUUUGUAUUUUUAGUAGCGACAGGGUUUCACCAGGUUGGCCAGGAUGGUCUCGAUCUGUGGACCUCGUGAUCUGCCUGCCUCAGCCUCCCAAAGUGCUGGGAUUACAGGCGUGAGCCACUGCUCCCAGCCAAUUCUUCUAUCUUUAAAAGGUAACCCAGGUUGGGAGGGAAGGCUGGGAGCACAGCAGAAGACAGAACUGCUUUGUUGAGCCCCAGAACCAGCAGCGGAUACUCCCUGCCAAUCACAUGGCACUCACCUCUUUGUGUAAAUUUAGAAGGUGCUUGCCCAGGAACAAUCUGGCUUGACUGUCACAGCCAUCCUGCAAGGUAAGUGGGGCAGUCGUUAACCCCAUUUUCCAGAUAAGGAAGCUGAGGCUCACAUUGAUUAAAAGACUUGCCCAAAGUAACCAAGCUGUUGAGGGGCAAAGCAGCAGGACACAGCAUCCAGGUCUCUUGACUUUUGCUUCAAGAGCCCACAGCCACACUCGGUGCUUAGAUGAGGCUUUGGCUCAUCAGUGAUUUGUGAUGUUUGCCUUUUGCCAAAGAGGGGGAUGGCUGAAGAGCUAGUGCCCUGACAUUCUGGACUCUUGCCAGUAGAUUUUGUCUGACUCUUGCUCUGAUGCUAUUCUUUGUUAUUUUCAGGAAGGGGAGCUAGAUGUAGAAUACAUUUCUUUUUCUUGGUAACGUGAACAGCAAGAAACAAGUAGAGUACAUUUCUUAUGAGAGAAUAUGCUCGGGACUUUGAUUCAUAUCUGGUGGGUCCCAAAAGACCAGGGUACUGCAGAUUUAAGACCAUGUUGCAAAUUCGGCAUGCAUUCAAUAGGACUACCUUAGUGAGGGGAGUAAUUUUAUAAAAUUAUCAAUUCAGUCUCAAAGAAUAAUAGCAGGAAAUGUAUUUCUGACUAUUUAGAAGUGACUCAUUGUGGGACUGUUUGAAAACUAUAUAUUAUUUUUAUCAGUAAAUAGUAUUGCCUAUAGUCAAUGUUAUCUCUUCACAUCCAGGGAUUCUAAGAUCCGGUUACCCAUUUCCCUCAAAACAGCAGAUAGCAAAGCCAGGGAAAUGAAAACCCACCAAACUUUCUGCAAGGCUGACACCACCCCUAAACCCCACUGCAAACUGAUAACACCACACCCUCCUCUGCAAAAUAACAGAGGGGCAGAUAAGAUGAAAAUUUUCAUUCCAAUUAGCAAUUAUUUCCAGUCAGUGAAAGGCAGAAUCAGAAGAGGUUCCACAACCAGAAAAUCUUGGCUGGAAUUUCACCAUCAGGAAUAAAACAGAAAAACUAAAAGAGUGCCCCAGAUAGCCUUUCUUAGGGGCCUGUGUCAGGUAAGUGCUUUUGAAUAUUUAAAACAAAGGAUGGCUAAGAGUUCUGCAGUCAUUUUCCAGUUAAAUAUCAGAUGGUAUAAAAUAUUUUUAUAGAAAGUACAGGCCAGGUGCGAUGGCUCACACCUGUAAUCCCCACACUUUGGGAGACCCAGGUGGGCAGAUCACUUGAGGCCAGGUGUUCAAGACCAGUCUGGCUAACAUGGCGAAACCCCGUCUCUACUGAAAAUACAAAAAUUAGCCUGGCGUGGUGAUGCACACCAAUAAUCCCAGCUAGGUCAGGAGGCUGAGGCAUGAGAAUCGCUUGAACCCGGGAGGUGGAGGUUGCAGUGAGAUGAGAUCGAACCACUGCACCUCCAGCCUGGGCGACAUAGUGACACUGUAUCUCAAAAAGAAAAAGAAUUCAUAAUCCACUUUUCAUUAGCUGGUAUUUGGCCUUACCAAGGUGAAGCAUGAAAAUGAAAUUCUAUCUGUAUCAGCCAGAUUCUCUCAGACACAUGUAUUCACUGCAUGACGGACCCUGGUUUCCAAAUUGUUAAGCAUACCAGACUCUAGUGAAUGCCCUUCCGAAAGGGCAAUCAUGCAGCAGGCCUUCCCAUCCGAGAGCCAUGGUCCCAGCCAAGGCAGCUUUCAGGGGUUGCUCCACCACUCUAGGGAGGCGGCCCAGAUCUGUCUCUCCCAAACAGUGUCUGGGUUUGACACUUCCUGAGAAAGCAGAGAUUGUUCCCUUUGUAUGCCAUGGCUCUGGAAUGCAGCUCUUCCUGUAAGGAAGACAAUGGUCUUUAUGGGAAGGCUAGGACUUGAAGGAGGUAAGAUUUGAAUGGCAGAGCUGGGUGCUAGCUUUCCUGCUGAGGGAAAUGGUGGGCACAGAACCCCCGCGGUGGGCAAGCUGGGGUGUGGGUGCCUGUGGGCUGGCAGGUGACUCUGCCCGGAGCAUCGCAGGGGUGGGGAAGAGAUCAAGGAGGUAAGAAAGGUAGUCUAGGGGGAGGGGCCCAGAGUUUUGAACACCAGACUUAGGAAUCUGGGACAUACGUACUGGCCUUUGCCAUUCAAAGUGUGGUCCUGGGACCAACAGCAUCCUUGGACUUGAAAGCUUGUUAGACACGCAGAAGCCCGGGCUCACCCCAGGCCUGCUGAAUCACAACCUGCAUUUUAACAAGACCCCCAGGAAAUUUCUAUCCUCCUUCAAGCACUACUCUAGGCUAAGAGGAAGCAAGAACAAUUUUUAGAGCUGGGGAUUAAGUGAUGGGAGGAGUGUUUGGGAAUGAGGCCACUAGAGUGCUUAGAGAACACUCGGGAGCCCCACAACAAUGCAGGCGUGAGUGAAGGAGGGGGGCAGGGGGCUGCGAGGGAGACAGGUUUUCCCCACAAGCCACAAGGCCCGAGGCACGCCUCCUGCCCUGCCUCCACCUCAGGUCUCAGGAAUCUUGUUGGUGAUCCAUCCAGACGUUGUGUGUUCUGGAAGUGGACAUCGCGGCUCUGUGUUUUUGAAGUCAGAUCUCAUUGCUGUGGUUUCUAUGCCUGACCCCCCGAAGUUCUUGCUCCUGUUGCCACAGGGAGCCGGGAGAGCACAGAGCGCUGCUCCCGGUGCCCUGCAGCCACACAAACAUGCUCCUGCUCCUGGCGGAGGCAGAGCUGCUGGGAAAGACAUUUCGGAAGUUUCCUGUGGCUGCAACAAAUUGUUCAAAUCUGCACUGGAGCACCGCUGUGACCUGUCUUUCUCCAUCUUAGGGCAACCAGCUCCUGAAACUGGAAACUCCCCAGCACCUCCUCACCCUACCCCUCAGGCUCUCCUUGUGGGGGUGGGGCAGGGGGAGUUGUCUGGAAUGCCUGGCCUCUCUGUCCAAGCAUGGCAGCCUUGCCCCAUGGAUGGUGCAGACUCAGUUUCCCAUGCACCUUGCCCCAGGGAGGAGGUAGGGGUUCCUUCCAUAGAGAUGGUGAAGAAUAAGGGAGGUAGUGAUCGUCUCUGGGAUCCAGUUAGAUCUGCGUUUGCAGGCAGAAAGAGGCUGGGGCACAUGGAGAGAGUGAUCAACUGGAAGAUUCUAGGGUCCUCAAUUUUGAAAGGUGACAUGAUACCCUGGAAAGGGCAUGAACUUAGUUGUCAGUUCGUCCUUGCCUUUUCCAAUCAAUGAUGUGUGGCCACGGCAAAUUAAUGAACAUCUCUGAGUUUCAGUCUCCUGUCUAAAAUGAGGUGAUAAUAGCUUCUUGAAGGUUGUAAGGCCCUGAACAUGCUGCCUGGCACAUAGAUGGCUAAUCAAUAUUUUCCUACCCUUCCCUUCCUUCCCUUCUCUGAAGUUGCUACCUGUCUCCUCCUGGGGUCUUGCAAAUAAACUUCUGAAUUAAAUAGUUCCUGCCUGGUAAUUUGUAUCAACUGAGGGAAGACAAGUCUGGAAUAUUACUUUUUUUUUUUUUUCAGAGGGAGUCUCGCUCUGUCGCCCAUUUUGAGAUUGAGGGCUACACUUAAAAAUAAAUGUAACCAUUGGCUGAAACCAGACCGCUUUCUGGAAGGGAGUCUUUUGGGGCUUCCUUCAAUGAACAGACAGGAGUGUAAUUAGUUAUUUGAUAGCAAAUGGGUUCUCUCAGGACAUAAAUACAAUUUAAAGCAGUUUGUUCUAGUGUCUACAGUUUCAACAUUGCCCGUUGCAUUCAUGUUUCUACUCUUAACUUGCCAAGUAAACCCAUAGUUUGUUAGUUCCAACACUAAUCUCUGAUCAGUCCCAUUUAUUCUAAAUUUGUUUUCACAUAAUGGCUUCCACAACUCAAGGUAUUUUCUAUUCUUUGCUCUCUGGAGACUGAGAGGUUAUCAGUUGUGGAAAGCCUUCCAGGAAGUUUUCCUCUAAUGUUGUCCUGGGGAAUACAGAAGCCGCCUCGAAUGAAUGGUCGGACUCACCUUUUCCCAGGACCAUAAAAAUAUAUAUUUUUGUUUCCUACCCUAAACACAGUUUAACUCACUCCUUGUUUUUCCUGGGAGAUUGUGGUAACAUGGAGAGGCCUGGGGGGUCUCUGGGAUAAAGCAGCUUGUAAAACGACUAUGGGGGGAUUCCAGAUCUGACUUAAUCAACAUUUCUCAAGAUCCGUAGACCAAUAAAACUGUUUGCUUUCUUACCACAGUUCCACCGGCUGAUUUAUUUCUCUUACUUGGCUGAAGCUGUCACUGCUCAAAGCAGUUCAUUUGUCAGGUCGAGAGAAUUACAAUUCACAGGACCUCUUGCUAGUGCUAUCUCAGUUUAUAAAUUUCACGAAUCACAAUUUAUUGCGGUGCACCCCACAGAGUCUCCUAUUAAUAAAUUGUGGCUCAUCAGCAAAAGCACGUGUCUAUGGCUCCCUUGGAUAUAGGCUUAGGGUCCUGGAGCAGCCGCACAAGCUGCAUGUGGCCAACACACAAACGUAGCUGGGCCGGCUCCCGCAGCCUCUGUCUGAGUCUCCCUCUACUUGCAAUGACUCUCUGCGUGGCCUGGUUUCUUGUUUUCACCUCUGCAGGGAUGCCAUGUAAAGGAGGCCAGACACCACCUGGGUAUGUUUGUGUUGUGGUGGGGAGGGCCGGGCCAUAGGAAGAACUUAAUUCCUUCCAAAAUCUACAGAUUUUCCCCUAAUAGAUUUCAUCAACCUGUGGGUACAAACAGAGUUGCAUUAACAAUGCAAACCUUUUGUUCACUGACUCUUUUCCUUCCCAGCCACCAGCACCUCAGCUAGAGCUUUCUGGAAGUCCUUGGGGUUUUUCACAUGCUCUCGGAAGUGAGGCCAGUAGUGACUUGCCCAAGUAGUCAGGUCGGCUCCUCCAAGGCAUUUUCCAUUUCCUUCCUUCCCCCUGUGCUGGCCUCUUCUGCUGGGUGUGUGCAGUUCCCAUGGGGCUUGCUAUGUCUUCCACUCUCUCUGUCUGCUACUGACACCUAAGUCCCGACUAGGGGCUGCACUUUGUUCCCCCAAAUCCAUAAGUGAAAUCCUAGCCCUCAGUACCUCAGAGUGUGACUGUAUUUGCAGAGAUGGCCUUUAACAUGUAAUUAAGGUAAAAGGAGGUUGUUAGGCUGGGCCUUAAUCCCAUAUAACUGAUGUUCUUAUAAGGAGAGGAAAUUUGGGCCCAGACACACACAAAGGGAAAGAUCAUAUGAAGACACAGGGAGAAGACGCUCACCUGCUAGCCAGGGACAGGGGCCUCAGAAGGAACCAACCCUACCUUGGAAGAAGUUGACACCCUGAUCUCAGACGUCCAGCCUUCAGAAUGGUGAGAAAAUAUAUUUCUGUUGUGGAAGUCACACAGUCUGGUACUUUGUCAUGGUCAUCCCAGGAAAUGAUUACAAUCCACUACCAAGAAAUGUCUGGCACCUUCAUGACGACCAAGCUGGAUGUCAAGCCAGGGAUGACAGCUUGCAGCUUCUGCUGAUGUUUGCCCUCGGAGAGGAGCCCCCAAACCCUGCUGUUUGUGCCGAUGUCAUUCAGUGUUUGUGGAGUAGCCCAGGGGUCUCCAACCCCGGGACCAUGUAUCGGUACCAGUCUGUGGUCUGUGGCCUGUUAGGAACAGCAGGAAGUGAGUGGCGGGUGAGCGAGCCUUACUGCCUGAGCUCCGUCUCCUCCAGAUCAGCUCACCUGCCCCAUUAGAUUCUCAUAGGAGUGCGAAUCCUACUGUGAACUGUGCAUGUGAGGGAUCUAGGGUGCAUGCUCCUUAUGAGAGUCUAAUGUCUAAUGAUCUGAGGUGGAACAGUUUCAUCCAGAAACCAUUGCCCCCUUCCCCCCUAGUCUGGAAAAAUUGUUGCCUUCCCUCCCCGCAUGUGCCCUGUGCCCUAGUAUCUCUGGAGUCAUUUUCCCAGAAGCUAUCAUGACUUUUAGUUAGAGUGAGAGGCUGGGGUCACUCAGGGCACCCGGGAAUCACAGUGAUCCUAUGUAGUGGGAGCUGGAUCCGUGAAGGAGAUGGACACUGACUGAAGAUUCCACUCCAGGCUGAGAGAGGAGAGAGGAAGUUCCCUGGCUGCUCUCUUCCUCCCACCCUCAGACUCUUGUCAGUGUCUCCUUGGCUGAGCCCUGCUGGGAUCUGGGGCAGCUGGGGAAACACAGCCUUCAGGGGUCAGCCCCUGCCAUAGACAGCAGAGCAGGAAAUGGUUGAGGAGUGGCUCUCGGGGCAAACAGGCCCAGGACUAGGGUUCCUUUCGUAGCUGUCUGUUAGUUUCUUGUGGCUGCUGCAGCAAAUGACUAGACCCUUGGAUGGCUGAAACCGCAGACAUUUACUCCCACAGUUCUGGAGGCCAGACUUUCAAAAUCAAGACAUUAGCAGGGCUGUGCUUCCUUUAGAGGCUUCAGGGAAGGUCCUUCUAUACCUCCUUCAGGCUCUGCUGACUCCAGGUGCGCCUUGGCUGGGGCUGCAUCACUCCAAUCCCUGCCGCCUCCUGCACAUGGCCUUCUCCUUUCCUCUGUGUGUCUCUCCUCUGUGUGGCAUCUUUCUCUAUGUGUCAUUGGACUUAGGGCCCACCCAGAUUGCAAAGAUCCCUUAUCCAAACAAGGCCACAUUCACAGCUUUUAGGGCUUAGGAUGUGGGCAUAUCUUUUGGGGGCCACCAUUUCACCCACUGCAACCUCCUUAAUUUUGUUCAAGCUGUUCCUUCAACCUAGUGUCCCCUACCCUCCUCCUUCUAGAAAAAUCCUGCAAGUCUCCUCUCAAGUGUCACCUUCAGCAUGAAACCUUGCCUGGACUACAUGAUCAGACCCACUUACCAUCUCUCCUGGGCCCCCAUAGUUCCUUGUUCUUUUGCAUGGCACUUAUCGCCUUGACAGUCCACUGGCAGCUCCUCAAGGGCAGAGCAGGGCCUGUGGCCUCUGCUCCAAGGGCCAAUGUCACAUCUCAGUUCCUUUCUCCCAUGAGGGCCAAGGCCCUUUUGUCUGGGUUCCAGUCUUCUCUUCUUGUUUUGGGUCAAAACAGCUUCCUUACACCCUCCUGAGCCUCACGUGGCUCUGCCCUGCAUCUGCUGGACACUCACCAGGCACCUCAUAAGUCUGGGAUUUGUCUCCAGUUUGCCUGAAACCCUCUCCUUCCUGGACCUACAUCACACAUGGCUGCCCAGAGCAGUCCUCAUUAAGAAGUACUGCUGUUGAUGAAGUCUUGUCAGAAACAAGCCUGGUCAGGACCAGAAGUGGGGAAAGAAACAGUCGAUUUAGAUUGUCACAGUACUUCGGGUAGAGGAAUUUGAUCUGGAAUCGGGAUAAAGAAUGGGGCUAUACCCUAAAAAUUCAUUUAAAGCUGGUAGGUGUUUUUCUUUACCAAGCAAUUAUUGUAUUUUGUUCUACUAAGUAUUUUAAAAGCCUCCUAAAUUCCUGUAGAGAUAAGCUUUGUUUACCUGGAACACUUGGGAAAUGAGGAGCACUAUUCUUUUAAUUUUAUGGUAACCAAAACCCCCUUUUGGGUUUUAAUUCUUGUUGCAAUGUUGCCUUAACUGCAUAUAUCUUUUCUGUUUUAGAAAGCAGAGCAAAUGGGAUGCACGCUUUUUGCUCAUGCAAAGAGGACUAGGGGUGUAGCUUUGGAAAUUGAGCUGAGUAAUCUUGGGUCAUGACCUUAACAAAAUAUUAACCAGGUGCAGUUGCUCUUGCCUGUAAUCCCAGCUCUUUGGGAGGCUGAGGCAGGAUGAUUGCUUGAGUCCAGGAGUUCAAGACCAGCCUGGGCAACAUAUAUACAUAUACAUCAUAUACAUAUACAUAUACAAAAGUUAGCAAGGCAUGGUGGCUGUAGUGCCAGCUACUUGGGAAGUUGAGGCAGGAGGUUUGCUUCUGCCUGGAAGGUUGAGAAUACAGUGAGCCAUAAUUGUGUCACUGCAUUUCAGCAUGGGCAGCAGAGAGAGACACUGUCAAAAAAAAAAAUCCUUUUUUUUUUUUUUUUUUUGAGAUGGAGUCUCAUUCUCGUUGCCCAGGCUGGAGUGCAAUGGUACGAUCUCGGCUCACUGCAACCUCUGCCUCCUGGGUUCAAGCAAUUCUCCUGCCUGGGCCUCCUGAGUACCUGGGAUUACAGGCAUGCACCACCUUGCCCGGCUAAUUUUUUAUUUUUAGUAGAGAUGGGGUUUCUCCAUGUUGGUGAGGCUGGUCUUGAACUCCAAACCUCAGGUGACCUGCCCACCUUGGCCUCUCAGAGUACUGGGAUUACAGGCGUAAGCCACCGCGCUGGGCCAAAAAAAUCCUUUUCAUCAACUUGUUUUUUGGAGCAUUUAUUUUUUUCUCCAAAAAUGGAGGACAGAAAACAGCCAAUUAAGCGAAGGUUUCUUUUGCUGAUGUCUAAUUUUGGCUUUUCUUCUGAAGUGCUAAGAAUAAUUUCUGAGCAGUAAUCAAUUGCAUCUCUAUAGAGGACAGACAGUAUUAUAAAUAUUGCCAUAAGAAGAAAGUUUUGGCCACUUCUCUAUGUUUCCUUCUAUUUCAGUACUGGUAGUGUUAGGGGUGUGUGUGUGUGUGUGUGUGUGUGUGUAUGUGUGUGUGUGUGUGACUAUGUGCAGGUGCAACUGAGUUAGCCUAAGGUGAAUAAACCCUACAAUGGACUGAAUGGGAAAAGCAGUGGAUUAAAUGUCAGAAAGCCAGGACUUUUUAUCCUUCUCUUUAUUACCAGUGCUAUGACCUUUGGCAAGCACAUUUAGCAUGUCUAUUUUCUCAUCUAAAAAUGGGAGUAGUUCUUAUCUCAACCUGCCUUAUGGGAUUACCGUGGGAAUGCAAUCAUAUGGUAUGAAAAUGCUUCAUAAAGAAAGCACCGUACAGACUUCCUAUGACAUUACUACGACACCAAGUUCUGGGAAGAAAAGGGGAGAGUUUUCUAGAGGACCACUCUUGGUCAUUUGUCUUGUUGCCAUUUUCCUUCCCAACACCAAUCCUGCUUUUGUCUCACUCGGUUUGUGUGUUGGGCUAAUCACCUACAGGCUACGUCAUGGCCUCAUCUCCAGCCUUGCUCCUCCCCCGCCCUUACCUGUUCUUUCUACAGCCAGUCCUGCGCUGCCAGCCGGCUCCACCUUGGUACACAGCCAUUUGUUAUGUUCCAGGAAGAAGCUAAACUCUGCUCCCUUUCACCCAACAUAAAACCUUGAUGUCUCCCUUCUGUCAAAAAAAAAAAGAGGAUUAGACGCCAGAGAGACACUAUAUAUAGUUUUUCUUUGACUGCUGGAAAAGAUAAGUGUCUGACAAGAGACAGGAAUUGUUUGCCUAUAAAUUGAGUGCCAGCAGGUUUAUCGCUGACCGCUGUAGAUUAUGUUGAGUGGAGUAAUCAGAAGGAAGAAUGGGAGGCUACAAUAACACUGCGAUAGCGGUGAUUUGGACUCCACAAUCAAACUCUCCUUGACUUAUGCACCCUGGGUGGAAAGUACUUAUGUUACAAAACAACAGGAGGUCCUGGCCCUGAGUUACUUAUGUGUCUCACAGGCAGUGAGGCGAUCCCUCGCCUGUUAGAUUGGUAAGCUCCUUGGCUGGGUCCGAUGUCACCUGAGAGGGCUGGACGGGAUGGUGGGGAUGGAAAGGGCUUCCUCCCACAGGGCAUGGCACUGGCCCAGAGCCGGAAUCCAGAGAGCUGCUGAGAAGGGCAGUAAAUGCCUGGUGCAGAAUAAUAUUUGGGCAGGGUGUUUCUUGAACCAUGGGUGGCUGGUCGUUUUCUAUGCUUCCCUCCUCCUGCAAUCCUGGAUGCUGCAGGUGAUAAAUAAAUUCUUCAGUCCUAGUGGCGCCCAGUGUCUUCUUGGAGGACCCGGGCUGGCCCCCAGAUGAGGUCACCAUGAGGUUUACAAAUCACAUUAGUGGAGCCCAAAGGGCUCAUGACAACUUCCGUGGAUUCUAAGUCCUUUCUGCUUGGUUGGUGCACUCAUAUGGUGCUGUGGUCUAAGAGGUGAGGUCCCCUCCCAAACAGUCCUGUGAAUGGCGGGGAGGCACUGGCAUGGCCAGGGAGCUGCGAUGACUCUCUGAGUGUGGAGCUCAGUGAUGUUAAUGCUCUGCCAGCAAGCGUGCAUCAGCUCCAGGAGACUCCUGCUCCCCCAACUUGGCAGUGGGUUUGCUUUCUUGAUAAAUCACCCUCAUAAACAAUUGGAUUUGGCCCAGAUAAGUGUCUCUUGAUCAUGUAUGCUACUCCCAUUAUGCCUCAUUUGUGACUCCAGCGGGCUCACAAAAGGGACAGACUCAGUCCCUAGUAAAAUGGAUGGUCUGCAUUCGCCGUGGGAUUCUGUGGGGUGAACAGCCUCGGUACUGUUAAGACAAGACAUGGUGUCAGAAGGAGGAGCCCAUGAUAGGUGCCUCUUCCAAAAGCCAAAGAGUUGAAUUCGGUGCUCACAAACCUCCCAGGUGCUCCUCACUGUCUUUGAAAUGAAGCCUCACCUCUCUCUCUGAAGAGGCAUCAAGGCCUCAGCCUGUCUUUCCAGCCUCAUCUCUUGCCACUCCCUGCCUGCAGUGCUGCGCGCACCCCUCCAGCACUGCCCACAUUCUUUCAUUUCCUCAGGAGUUCGGUGUCUGUGCUCAUGGACAUCACUCAUGCUACUCCCCUUUGGCUCAAACCCCUUUCUUUCUGGUGAGCUUCUACUCAUCCUUCAAAACCUAACUCUAGGGCACCCUUAUUCUAACUUCGGGGUCCAUCCAUCCUCCUCACUGACACUCAGAACUACAAUGAAAUAUUUCCUUGUCUGUGCUCUUCAGGGCAGGCUGCUUAUCUGUCUAGGGUAUGGUCUAUCAUCUGGCACACUAGGUGUUCGCUCAAGGCCUGUUUUCCCCACUGAAUACUGGACUCCUCCAGGGCUGAGAUCUUGCUUGUUUAACUUUACAUACUCAAUAACCAACCAUGUUAGAAUCUCAAUUUCCUCUGAACUAAAAUAAUGCACCUGUAACAAAUGUGACAAAGCCAAGUGGCAAUUGCCACUUACUCACUGAACACCUAUGAGGGUAAAGUGAGAUAAUUCACAGAAAAGCAUGAUCCUCUUCCACAGCACUUUAUGGUACAUUGCCAAUAAGAGUAAGAUGGAGUGGCAGUAAGAUGGGUGGAGAUAUGGUUUGGCUGUGUCCCCACCAAAAUCUCAUCUUGAAUUGUUCCCAUAAGCCCCACGUGUUGUGGGAGGUACCAGUGGGAGGUAAUUGAAUCAUGGGGUCAGUUACCCUCAUGCUGUUUUUAUGAUAGUGAGUGAGUUCUCACGAGAUCUGAUGGUUUUAUAAAGGGCUUUCCCCCGUUUUGCUCGGCACUUCUCUCUUGCCUGAUGCGGUGUAAAACAUGCCUUUCGCCUUCUGCCAUGAAUAUGAGGCCUCCCCAGCCAGGUGGAACUGUGAGUCUGUUAAACCUCUUUUUCUUUAUAAAUUACCCACUCUUGGGUAAGUCUUUAUCAGCAGUGUGAAAAUGGACUAAACAGGUGGAGACGUGGAUUGAGAGCAGGGGAGAGAAGGCUGAAGAUGCAUCUUCUGGGAAUAAUCCUGUGCCUUUAUUUUGAUUGUUUAUUUUAUCUUUCAUCAGAAUUUCUUAACUUUUAUUUUCACUACCAAUAGUGUAAUUGCUUGGCUGCAUGUCAUUGCUGAGGGAAGCAACAUUGAAUUGACAAUCAAGACACCCAGAUUCAAAUCUAGCUCUGCCAUAAAUCAUAAAUCAUCUUUGUUAGGGUUUCCUUACUUGUGAAGCGGGUGACUCGGCCCAGUACCAUCUUGCUGACUAAAUGGUUUUACAGAUAAUGAGACAAUCAACUGAAGAGUACUAGAUAGAUCCCACCACUUGCCAAGCAUUUUGCUGGGAUCUUUACAUAGUUUAUUUCUGAAGCUCACUCCUGGCUAUGAGAUAGACUCCAUCAUUAUCCUCAUUUUACUGGAGAGGGCUUCAAGGUACAGAGGGUCUCCAAAGGUGAGGCGUUGCCUAAGUAGCAGAAACUGUGAAACUGUCUUCCAAAGUGGUGGUAUCAGUUUGCAUUCCCACCAGCAGUGAAGCAGCAUUCCUGUUGGCCCACAUCUUUGCCAGCAUGGGUGUCAGUGUUUUGGAUUUCAGCCAUUCUGAUAAGUGUGAAGUGGCAUCUCGUUUUGCAUCAGGGUGUGUAGCAGGGUGUGAUUUAGGCUGAACUCUAAGUCCAGAGUCAGGCAGCUAUUCUCUGCCUAUUGUACAUUGCUUGUAUUUUGGAUAUAAGGAUGCACAAUUUUCUGCUACUUUUAGGCAUCAUGAAAGGGCCCAUGAUCUCUGCAAAAACUUGAAAUACCUAAAUGUCGUGUGGUUGCCAAGUUUUGUUCAUCUAAUUUCAUCAAUAAAACUUUCCUUUAAAUGGUCUAGGAAGUCUGUGUCUAGUUUAUGCUCCCCACUACUGCCAAUGUGAUCUUUUUCAAAUAGAAUCUGAUCAUGAGUAUCCCCUCUUCAGAGCCUUCAGGCCCUCCAUCAAAACUCCAAUCAAAACUAAGAUUUUAAAUGAGAAUUUCAAGGCCCCUUAUGAUUCAGCUCUCACAUACGUCUACUGCUUCUUUCACUUUUCUCUCCACAACACCACCUCAACCCCCACCCUGCUGGUGCCACCAAUGGACAAGCUGGAAGUAGCAGUGCUUCCUCUAAACCCAAUAUCCAUACAGUGUGUGGGCUCAGUUAACUAGGCACGGAUUCUCCUUAUCUAAAGGAUUUCCCCACGGACUUUCCUUCUCAGCCUGGCAAGCUGUUUUAUUAUUGUACACCUUGUUAAGAUAUUAUUUCUUCUUCAAAGAUUUAUCCAACUCUGAAAGAAAUUUCUAACUAUUCUCUUUGUGGUAGGCAUGGCUAAUUGCCCAAUCCACAUUUCCCCCAUCUCUUCUUUCUCAUUUUCUGCAUUAGUCAUGAGUUAAUCCAUUGCUACUUAACAAAUUAGCCCCAAACUUCAUUAAAACAGCAGCAAUCACUUAUGAUCUCAUGCCAUUUCUGAGAGUUAUGAAUUGCUAUGGUGUGAACGUUUGUGUCUCCCCAAAAUUCAUAUGUUGAAAUUCUAUCCCCCAGUGUGAUGGUAUUAGGAGGUGGGGCCUUUUGGAGUUGAUUAGGUCAUGAGGGUGGAGCCACCAUGAAUGGGAUUAGUGCCCUUAUGAAAGAGACCCUCUUGCCCCUUGUGUCAUGUGAAAAUGCAGCAAAAAAGAUAGCUGUCUAUGAACCAGGAAGAAAGCCCUUACCAGACACUGAAUCUGCUGGCACUUUGAUCUUGGACUUCCCAGCUUCUAGAGCCAUGAUAAAUAAAUUUCUGUUGUUUAUAAACUACCUGGUCUAUGGUAUUUUUGUAAUAGCAGCCCAAACAGACUAACACAGACAUCCAUGAGGGGGUUAGUUGGGUGAUUGUGGCUGAGGGGCUCAUGACAUUGCAUUGGGUUACAACUGGGGCUGCAGUUAUCUGAAGGCUUGAUGGGGCUGGAGGAACUGCUUCUAAAGUGGCUUGAGCACACAGCUGAUGUGUUAGUGCUGGUGGCUGACAGGAAGCCUCAGUUCCUCACCACAUGGACCUCUCCAUAUAGCUGAUGGAGUGUCUUCACCACAUGAUGGCUGGCUUGUCCCAGAUCUUCCUUUCUCACUGAUCUCCAAUUUUGUUCAGUGCAGCAAUGUGCCCACUUUAUAAAAUUGAAUUCCCAGCUCACUUGUGCCUGGUGGCCCCACGACAUCAUUCUAGCCGAUGAGGUGUAUGUGGAUGUCUAUUGGGUGGAGCUUCCUGAACAGCUCUUAAUUUCCUGGUUAAAAGAGACAGUCUCACUUGGUACAUGCCUUUUGACCUUCACUGUUAGCUGUUUUUCGUGCCCACAACCCACAUUCGAUGUCUGGAUGUGCAAGCAGUCAUCUUAUAGGCAUAAAGAUGAAAGUCACAAAUGACGGAUGGUGGGGGGGAAUGAUAAAGGGAGUUUGAGACCUGAUGGCUUAAUGGAGCUUCUGGUGCUACCUCCCUGGACUGACUACAUAGCUCUGCACUUUCUGUUAUUUGGGAAAAAUGACUCCUAUUUGGUUAUGUCACUGUUUCUUGCUACGUGCACCUGGACACAAUCCUAGCCCCAAUACAUUCCUUUGUCAUCUUCUGACUUCUAUAAUUACACAGUACAUCACACUGAAUUUUCAUUCCUUAUUUACGUAGGUUUCUCCUCAACUCUUCAGUGAACUACUUGAGGGCAAACAUUGGGUCAGACUUAGCCUUGUACAGUACAUUUUUAUUAAAUUGAUGAGUUUAUAUUUAAAAUGAACCUUUAAUAAAUUCUUCGAACGUUUCCCUCAGAGAAUAAGCUCAAUCAUUCUAUUGGUGAUCAGCAAAUCUUGUCUCAUCCUGAGCUUCUUUCCCACCAGUGCCAAGGCCUGGGUCAGAGAAGAGAGACAUCAAAGGCAGCCGAGGGGGUGGGGAGGGAAAGACCUGUUUGAUGUGAAAAUAGAGGGAGGGGUCUUUCGUGGGUUGACUACAAAGAAGCACUUCUUCUGUGAAAGUGGCUGCUGGCUCACCAGGUCAUUAUUUUUGCCAUUCACCUUGCAUGGGUCAGAGGACUUGAAGAUAGAUUCCCGCAGCCAGAGAGUCUACAAUCAUCGCAGACAUGACUCUAACCUGUCACUGCCCCCUGCCCCCUUUUAAGGCCUCUGCCUCAAAGGAUAAGAAGGGAAGAGCCAAAGUUGAUUCCAGGGUGAUGAGGUGACUAGGAGGAUGGCUUGUCAUUAAGAGAAAUAGGUGGUCAGGGGUGGGGGGCAGAGACACACAAUACAGUGGGGUUUCUUCCACAUCCCAGUGGUGCUGGGCAGCAGGCCAGCAGGGAGGUGGCUCGGAGAGUUGUCAAGAUGGAAGUGAUCCCUGGAAAUGUGGGGAGGAAGGGAUCCCCCAAGGGCAUUUUCUGCCCAAGUAAAGUAAGGAGAGAAAGAGGAGAGGGCCAGAACUCUGGGAAAUCUCUAAACUUGGGCGAAUCAAGAGAAACAAAUGGGAUUUUUAGGGCAGUGGAACGAUACGAUUCUGUAGUGGUGGAUGCCUGUCAUUAUACAUUUGUCAAAACCAAAAGAAUGGACAAGACAAAGAAUGCACCGUAAUGUAAACUGUGGGCUUUAAUAAUAUUGUAUCAGUAUUAGCUCAUCUAUUAUAACAACUGUACCAUGCUAAUGCGAGAUAUUAAUAAUGGGGAAGUUGGCAGGGGUAAGGGGGAGUUAUGUGGAAACUCUCUGUGCUUUCUGCUCAAUUUUUCUGUAAACCUAAAACUGCUCUAAAAAAUGAGGUCUAUUAAUUUAAGAAAACCCACAAAAAAUAGAGAAAGAAAAAUGGGAAGGAGAAAAACAAAACGAGUUCAGUCUUGGAUGCCAAAAGAGAAGAAGAGGAGAAAGGCGAAGGAACACUCUGGAUUAAUGGGACUGACAUCAAGUCAGGAAUCAGAAUAGCCUCUACCAAGCCAUUUACUAUGUGUGACCUUGGGGAAUCCGCUUACUACAUCUGUUAUGUCUGGGAUUCAUUAUUACUGUUCUUACCUGUGUAAUAACUAUGUAAGACAUUAGAGUGUUUCCCCAAACUUGGUAAACAUACCAAAAUCAGUUGGUGGUUUUGAAGAUACUGGAAUGUGACCUUCAAAAUAAUAUUGAAUCACACAGUAAGAAAGUAAUCUGCUUUUCAGUUCAAAUUUGGUGAAAUAGAAAGUUUCAAUUUGAUGUUAG
Molecule: long non-coding RNA, 25726 nt
Organism: Pan troglodytes (chimpanzee)
Lineage: Eukaryota; Metazoa; Chordata; Mammalia; Primates; Hominidae
Exons: 1
Source: RefSeq, a predicted model, not a curated record